GUGAGGUAUCAGAGAAUAUCUGAUUUUUUUCUCAAUUUUUGCUUUUGGUAAUUAAGGUGUUAAUUAUUUGUGCAGAUUGAUUGAUGGACUAAUUGUUUCAGUUAUAAAUAUUAGUACAUGUUUUAGUGUGUUAGAGGUUUAACGUCAACAGAGCGAGAUGUAACAGUUCACAUAACACACACUGUGUCUCAGACUAUGGAGCUCUGCUGCUACAGCAGCACCUUCAUUUGUCUACAGUUCAUGACAUGUUCAACCUAUAGAUAACGCUUCUCCUCAGCAACUGUGUAGAGUUCCCAUCACAUCACCCAAUCACCCACAUACACAGUAUACAACCCAACCCCAGACCCACCUACACUUCCUGAGUAUGUUUUAUGGCUCAGCUGUCAGGCCUCAGAUGGUAGAAAACUCACCCUGCCAUCCAACAUCACCAACCCUGCACACUUCACUCCACGUCCUCAGCCCCUCCUUGCUCCUCUCCGCUGUGCAUUUCUUGGUUGUUCUAGUGUCAGCUAACAACGCUGAAGCAGUCACGCUUCCCUGCUCCGGUCCCAUUCCACAGACCUAAUCAUCUUAUAGCUAACAAUGUAUUUACUGUAGAGCCAUGUUUCUUACGCAUGACACACACACACACUGAUGGCAUGUCUGGCGCUGGAGCUUAGCCUCUGCUGAGGUUUAUGUACCACAAGUAUGUAUGUUAAUUUUGUGUUGUAGAUGUUUUAAUUUCAAAUUAGCAACUCAAAGACAUUGGAAAACACUUGAAGCAUUUUAGCUCGAUGGAAAAUAAUUCAAAGAGGUAAAAUCCAGAUGACGACAUUUAUUCUCUUCCUUUUUAAAAACUUAAAAAAACAUUUUGGAGCGUGUUUAAUCAGUAUUCAUUUGUCAGUAUUGCAUGUCAAACUGCUGUGUGUUAAUAAUUCAGUGGAUUUACGUGCAUUACCCCCUGGUUAGGGGGACAGAGUUGCCCCAGUAACUAUCUGCUUGCUCGGCCACACACAAGUAAAACACACAGAUCGUAGUGCACAGGACACUAAAUGAUUAUCAUCUGACUCACUUGAGUGAUUAAUUUGUCAAUUUGUGUUUUGACAAGCCCACCUGAGUUUUUACUGUAGAGCUAAUCAGUAACAUGUUGAGAUUAUGUGUCCCAACGUGGACAGUCUGGUACAGUUAAAGUUUAUCUGCUUUUCUGUGUACAGUGUGUGUAAUCUAAUGACACUUCCUGUCGACAAACAUUGAUGACGCUUCUCUUUUCAGACUUAUGUGAAUCUUAUGUCACACCAGCAGUCACGUCUACAUGUCGCUUUAAGGGCAGAAACUCAAUCAGCUGUCUCUCUCCUUUAUUUAACCAGAUACAAAUCAGUUAAGAGAAAUGAGGAACUCUGAACUCUUUAUCUCCGCGUUUUAGGAAGAAGGCGGCGGCCUGCUGAGUCCCCUUAUGGAAACUGGCUUUCAUUCAGAAAACAAUAACAAAAUCAGCAGUAUCCCUCUCUGUGAGGAUCAAACUGUGGUCAGACAAUGAUGGUUGAGUCUCCUCGGACUUGUGAAAAGGGCAGCACAACAAGUCAAGGCAUGUUCCAACACGCCACCAACAGCCGGACCUGGUGUAUGAGCCUGCUCCUAGACCAGAAGGGGGAGGAGCAGAGGAUCAGAGAAGGGGGGAAACCCAGAAGAGACCCAGCAUGACUCAGCCUGCUUCAAUUGGUUCUUGGAGGAGUGUUGCAUAUCCUCCACAACAACCCGUGUCAUCUGGAUAUGUGUGUUGAAUCCUGGCCUACAUUCACUACUGCCAUUUGUUACCGUCAAAAACAGCGUUUCAGCAGCAGCAGUAGCAGCUUCGGGGUGAUUCCUGACAUAUGCACCAUCUUCACCAAGAACUCAGAAACUCUGAGAAGUCUGCUGCUUGAUGAGAGUCAUAAACUGGAGGAGUGGACUCAUAUUCAGAGGUAUACCAAGCUCACACUGUCAUCUCAUCAGAGAACUUGCUGCUCUCAGUGGGCUCGAUAUCACAGAAUAUGGGGGUUAUGACACCUUCAUCCACCACAACCUGGAGAAUAUGGACUGGCAAGAGAAGGUGUUGCCUCUGCCAAUUUCCAUUCUGGAUGAGUCCCACGCUGAGCUCGUGGACACGCACUUGCCUUAUGUAGGCAAUGAGGAGAGCCUCAACCACGUGAGAGCCUGUAUCCACCAUCUGCCAAACCACUGUGUGACGGAUGAGAAGGGCCAGCCUGUCACCUCCCGGCACUGUCUUUGGCUCCGAUCCGGAGGAUGAGCUCUGUGGGUCUGCCCGUCUACUGCCACGUCAGCCAGUAUAACCAGGCCACCAUUAACGCUGUGACCUCACUCAGCUUCUCUGCGUGUCCCAGUGUGGAGAAGAUCUAAGUGCUGCUCAUAUGCAAGGACAGAGUGUGAGGGAUCCAAACUAAUGACAAUAAAGUCUGUCGGGUGAUUGAAACCACACUGGAAAACUGAUGUUUUAUUGUAAAACUGGAAAAUAUAACAAUUACUCUCCUUGUUCUAUGGUUUCUGUUUCCCUGCAGUACUCAGGGGAUGCAGCACUUUAGAGAGUUUAGUCAGUUGCAAGUAGGAGAAACUCAAAGUAACAUUUUCUGUGGUUUUAGGGUGGAUUUGAUGAAUAUGCCAGCCACACUGCUCUUUUUUGUUCACUGUAAAAAGAAGCUACACAAAUGUCACUCAAUUUAAAAUAAAUCAGU
Lates calcarifer (barramundi perch) is the source of this 2708-nucleotide long non-coding RNA. RefSeq lists it as uncharacterized. Lineage: Eukaryota; Metazoa; Chordata; Actinopteri; Centropomidae. The record is from RefSeq and is a predicted model, not a curated record. The transcript is spliced from 6 exons.